RNAcentral lists this ribosomal RNA (467 nucleotides) under uncultured bacterium. RNAcentral's name for it is "bacterial SSU rRNA". It matches the Rfam family "Bacterial small subunit ribosomal RNA", at positions 329 to 794 of the family's 1533-position model. The record is from RNAcentral.
UUCCAGACUCCUACGGGAGGCAGCAGUGAGGAAUAUUGGUCAAUGGGCGCGAGCCUGAACCAGCCAAGUCGCGUGAGGGAAGACGGUCCUAUGGAUUGUAAACCUCUUUUGUCGGGGAGCAAAAGACGCCACGUGUGGCGUUCCGAGAGUACCCGAAGAAAAAGCAUCGGCUAACUCCGUGCCGGCAGCCGCGGUAAUACGGAGGAUGCGGGCGUUAUCCGGAUUUAUUGGGUUUAAAGGGUGCGCAGGCGGAAUGUCAAGUCAGCGGUAAAAUUUCGGGGCUCAACCCCGUCGUGCCGUUGAAACUGGCGUUCUUGAGUGAGCGAGAAGUAUGCGGAAUGCGUGGUGUAGCGGUGAAAUGCUUAGAUAUUGCGCAGAACUCCGAUUGCGAAGGCAGCAUACCGGCGGCGAUCUGACGCUGAGGCACGAAAGCGUGGGUAUCGAACAGGAUUAGAUACCCUUGUAGG